RNAcentral lists this ribosomal RNA (417 nucleotides) under Triticum aestivum (bread wheat). Its description in RNAcentral is "partial small subunit ribosomal RNA". The record is from RNAcentral. Lineage: Eukaryota; Viridiplantae; Streptophyta; Magnoliopsida; Poales; Poaceae.
AUGGACCGUCAUCGUCCUGGUCAGGAUGCCCCACCACCACCUCCACCACCUCCUCCUCGUCUGGCCCCCCUUCCAACGCAUUGCCAGGAGAUGCGUUUUGUGUUUGAUGAAAGUAAAGACAAAGUUAUCAUUAUUGAAGGAAACAUGAACUCCUAUGAACACUUCAACUUUACAGCUAAGAAGGCUGGUUCCACCGUUCUAUUUUUUGCUGAAGUGACCCGAGACAAAGGACAACUGUGUAAUGUUCUUUGCUGCAAGCCUUUGGAUUCUGAUGACAAUGGACAUUGCUUUGGUUGUAAGAAUCAAGGUUAUGUGGACUUGAGGCAUCCAGCUGGCGAAAGUUUGUAUGUUGGAGGUCAUGUGGAUUGCGAGUUCCCAUUUAUGUGGGAUAGUAUCAGUGAGGAUGACUCUGAUUGA